GGGAAGCCGGGCUGUGUCAGGGUGGGGCUGCGGACUCAGCGCUUGGGUCUCGGUGUCCUUUCCUGGAGAAAGAGGCAGGAGCGUGGAGGGAAGGCCCAGGGCCAGGGCUGGAGCGGCGGGUGGGGCCAAGCUUAGGGAAACCGUUCAGGGCACCCCCACUCCCGCGCGCUCCAGUGGUGCCGGCCGAGGGAAGGACUCGCGGCUGCGGGGCUCGCGCCGCUGUCAGUGCGGCGGGGCGCGCGAGCGGCGCGGGCGCAGGGCGGGCUGGGCCGGGAGAAGCUGAGGGGGCGGUAGCGGCGGCGGGGGCGACUCCCGCGCGUGUGCUCAGCUCCUCACGCCGCGGCCGGAGCCGCCUUCUUCCUCCUUCGCUCCCUCCCUUCCGCCCCCGAGUGCGGCGGCACCGCCUCCUUCCGCGCCGCGCGGCUUCCUCCAGACCUCUUGGCGCGGGUGAGCCCUAUUCCCAAAGGCAGCUGGUGCUGACCCUGUAACCCAAAAGAGGAAAUUGAAGGCUGGUGGCCACCAUGUCCUUGAAGAUCCAGACAAGCAACGUAACCAACAAGAAUGACCCCAAGUCUAUCAAUUCUCGAGUCUUCAUCGGAAACCUCAACACAGCUGUGGUGAAGAAGUCAGAUGUAGAGACCAUCUUCUCCAAGUAUGGCCGUGUAGCCGGCUGUUCUGUGCACAAAGGUUAUGCCUUUGUCCAGUAUGCCAAUGAGCGUCAUGCCCGGGCAGCUGUGCUGGGAGAGAAUGGGCGGGUGCUGGCCGGGCAGACCCUGGAUAUCAACAUGGCUGGAGAGCCCAAGCCCAACAGACCCAAGGGACUAAAGAGAGCGGCAUCUGCCAUAUACAGUGGCUACAGCUUUGACUAUGAUUACUACCGGGACGACUUCUACGACAGGCUCUUCGACUAUCGGGGCCGCCUGUCACCUGUGCCAGUGCCCAGGGCAGUCCCUGUGAAGCGACCCCGGGUCACAGUCCCCUUGGUCCGGCGUGUCAAAACCACCAUACCCGUCAAGCUCUUUGCCCGCUCCACAGCCAUUACCACCAGCUCAGCCAAGAUCAAGUUAAAGAGCAGUGAACUGCAGACCAUCAAGACAGAGCUGACGCAGAUCAAGUCCAACAUCGAUGCUCUGCUGGGCCGCUUGGAGCAGAUUGCCGAGGAGCAGAAGGCCAACCCAGAUGGCAAGAAGAAGGGUGACAGCGGCAGUGCCAGUGCCAGUGGCAGUGGUGGGGGCAGUAGUGGUGGCAGCAGCCGGCCACCAGCCCCCCAAGAGGACACGGCUUCUGAGGCAGGCACGCCCCAGGGAGAAGCACAGGCUCGAGACGACGGCGAUGAGGAGGGGCUGCUGACACACAGCGAGGAAGAGCUGCCUGACAGGAGCAACGGCCAGCGGCAGGAGAAGGGCGUGCACUGUAUCAGGCCUCAUGUUGGGCACCCACCCCUGGAUACCACCCCCAGCGGGUCCCAGGAGAGCUGGCAGCAGGCACCUCCUCCCCCACACGUCCCAGCCACUGCCACAUCCUCUGCAGGUGCAGUUAUCGGCCUCCCCUCCCCACGCACCCUCCCUGUUGGCACCGCCCAGGCCAGAGGACAGAGGUUUCCCUAUACUCUACCUCCCCUCCCAGGACACUCCCAGGCUUGGGGUUUUUCUAUAGGUUUGGAGAGGGGAGGGUCACGGGGAGGGUACCCUGACAAUAAAGAGAUUGGAUCCCAACUUGUUCUGAGAUGGGAUGGUUUGUAUUUAUUUUCUUAAGGUACCCUAGUCCUCCUGCCCAGCCAGAGUCUGGUCUAGUCUGCUUCAUGCCAAGAGUCUAGUCUGGUUUGCUUUACCCUGUUCUUUUUCCUCUUUCACUUCUCCCGGUUAGGGAGCAUUGUCUCGGGUGCAUACUGCUGGGCUGUCUAGGCCUUAGUUUCCACAGCUAAAAUGGAAAUAGAAAUGGCCAGUAGGGUUCUUGGGGGAGGGUCAGAUGUCCCAGUGCCCAAGAGAAUACUUUGGUGGCUGAAGUGCCAAGCAAUUAUGAGCUACUUGGUUAGGCAGUGGUAGGUUCAGGUCUUAGCUUCUCAUUUAGUCUGGUCUUUUCCAGCUUUAAGAUGAUUCUGGAAACUGCCUCGUCCUCUCUUCUCUGUCCUAGUUUAGGAUGCUGUGUUUUUUCACUUGGGCUCUGUCCUCUCACCAGCUUCCCAGUCUCUGGCUUCUCCCUGCCCCAUUUCCCACUAGCCACUAUGGUGCUUUUUCUGAGUCAUGUCCCUUCCCUGUAAAACCCUUACCUGACAGCUCACCGUUGGGACAAAACUCCCAACUCCUGUACAUGAUCCUGUAUACUUUGGCCUCUCCUGUCUUUUGUCACCUGCCCCACACAAAACAAGUCCUUCCCUCUCAUAGGCAGCAAGUCAUAGAGCCUCACUCCCAUUAACCUCAAGCAUUAGGAAGUUGGCAUCAGGAUACCUGUGGCUUCCCUGUACCUAUUCUGGGCUGCCUGUCUAGAUGUUUGCUUUGUUCUCUGACAACUGACAGUGUUCCUUCAAAUUUCCUCUUCUGUCCUAAUUUUACUCCACAAGUUGACGAAUUUCCCUGCGUUCAAAUUCCUAGGAGAGGAUCACCUGCCACAGCGGAUCUUUUUGAUUCACUCAUAGGUUAUAUAAGUACCCUCCCCAGUCCUGUGAACCUGGUGACAAAGGUGUGGUCAGUUAGUCUGGACUCUCUGGUGUGGGGCUUUGGUGGGCAGACACCCAGAAACGUGCUUUGCUCCUGGUCUGGCACGUACUCUUGCUCCUUUCUCCAUCUGAGAGAUACCCACUCAUUAUUAAGCUGCUGUUCCAGUGUCAGGCACCUCUGAGAAGUCUUUCUUCUCAGCUUACUGCUCUUCAAAAAUUGUUCAUUCUCUCUUCUAGACAAACUUUCCCAACACCGAGAAUUCGGUCCCAUCAUCAGAAAGGGGUUUGGGCUCUCCAGUCGUCUUUGCAUGUUCCUCAGAGUGUCGGGCCUGCUGGAAUUCUUGUUGAAAAUCCAAUUUCAGACCAACUGUUCUACAACAGUCUCCAUCAAACUUUCCCCAGACUUUGGCCCCGGGUUUUGGUGGAGGCUAGAGGCUGGGCUCGAGACAGUGUUCAAGCUAGGCCACCCUGGGUGUGGAAUCACCCAGGGAAGUUUUUGUUGUCUCGUGUCUGCCUCCCUGGGCAGCCCCUCCUGCCUGUCAUUGGCCGGCUAGCAGUCUGAAGCCUGAGUGUGGCUCUGCAUUCCCAAGCUGUGCAGGGGCCUGAUUAACCCGCCCUUGAGGCAGCCCAAGUUCUGGACCCACAGCUGAGCCCCCAUCCUCGCUUAGCCAUUGCCUCAUAAUGUGAUGUGGAGCAAAGUUUCUGCCUUUUUGGCGCUUCAGCUCCACAGGUGGGCUCACAGUCCCCAUAUGUGUGCCUGUCAGGGACCCUGGGCAGCAGGGGGAGAGAGGGUAGAGGCUGAGGCCUUAGUGGACUUAACACUGAGGGCUGGCACCAUGUUCCUGAGUCUCCAGAGCCUAGUGCUCUGUGCCCCUUGCACUGUAAUAACAUUUUCGGAUUCUAUAUGGCCAUAAUAGUGACCGAGGCACUCACUUUUCAGGUUUGGGGUCAAGUAGAAUAGGAGGGGCUGUGAGCUUCUGUAGUAUGCUAGGCAGAAGAGCAGGGAAAAUCCCUUCCAGGGCAGGAAAUGUCUGCCCUACAAGGAGGCCCUGCCUAAUCACCCUAGCACCAGGACGUCCUGGACAGAUGGAGAUCCCCACCCUGGCAUCCCACAAAAGGCCCUAAACUACUUAGCCCCUGGGAAGAUUUGAGUGGGAAAUUCACAUCCACAAAACCCUGCUGCAUACAUCUGCCCAGUCCUCUCUCAUUCCGUUGCUCAUCGGUUUUCAUUUAUCUGUUCAACCUCUGAAAAUCAAAAGGAGAUGAUGAAGAAAUAGGAUACCAGAUUCUACCCAAAGGGCUAUGAUUCCAUAGAUAUUUUGAAGAUCUGAAGCCUCAUUUGUGAUCUUGGCAGCUGUUGAAGGAAUUAUCACAACCAGUGGUUUUAUUGGCUUUUCUCCCUGUACUGCUGCCAAUAGUUUGUGAUGCAGGGCGAGUCUUAUUCCUUGCUAGGUCUCCUGUUUCCUCAUCUGUGCAAGGGGUUGGCCUAGAUCAGCGAUAGUAAAUGGGCCUCUUAUCAUCAGUUAACUUGUAUAACAAGCCCAAAAUGUAGUACUUUUAAUAAACAUUUAUUACCUUCUGAUUCAGUGGCUUGGAAAUUUGGGCUGCACUCAGCUGGGCAGUUCUCCUUAUCUCAUCUGGGCUAUGAUAUGGCUGAAGUGAGCUGGCAGAUUGGCUGGGGGGCCAUGGGUCCCAGAUAAUCUCACCCACUUGUUAAGGAGUUGGCUGGGCAGCAGGGCAAGUGGGCCACAUGUACCCAGAAUCUAGCAGGCAGACCAGGUAAGCUCCAGUGUACAAGUGCUCUUCCAAGUUCUUGCCCAUGGCAUGUUUGCGAGGUUCUUUUGGUCAAAGCAAGUCAUAUGGCUAAGUCCAAACUCUUAAUUUGAGGAGUCUCAAAAUAUGGCCCAAUUUUGUUUUUAAUCUCUCUCAGGCCUCGUUUCAUGUGCUGACUCAGAAUGUUUUUAGUAGCAGCUGCUGGAAUGCUUUUUGAGGAUUUGGAGCAGUUUUUAGAUAGCUAGGAAAUAGUAACAUGAUGAUUUGGGUUGUUUUUUUUUUUUGUUUUUUGCUUUUUUUUAUGGAUGAGGAGUUGAAAUGAGAGUACAUGAGUGUCCAUUCAGUAUUAGCCAGGCCUGGCCAGGUCAUCUCUAAUCCUAUCAGGACAUUAUACACUCUACAGUGGACCAUCUGACAAGACCACAGAAAUACGGAGUAUAAAGCUGGGCAAGAUUCUGAUCUAGGUUUCCUGGGUUUGAAUUCCAGUUCGACCAUUGAUUAACUUUGGGCAAAUAAAAAUCCCUAUAGCCAUGGCCACAUUCUUUAUAAUAAGAUUAUUCUAUAAUAACAGUAAAUAAAACUUGUGAAUAUGUGCUGUGUAAAAGGCACAUUUUACAUUUAUUUAAUCUCUAUAACCACCUUUUAGGUGGAUGUAAUAUGAACUUUCUGUUACAAGUUGUAGAAACUGGACUCAAAUGUGCUUAAGCAGGGGGAAGUUUACUGUUUCACCAAUUUAAAGUUCCAGAUACAGUUAUGCAGACCCAGUGGAUGCAGGGCUUCAAGAGUUGUCAUCAGGAAUGUAUUUCUUUAUUCUUCAGCUUGGUCUCCUCUCUUAGCAUUGUUCUCAGGUUCUAAGUGAUGGCAGAGCAUGGCCACAGGGCCUAUGAGUGUGGACAGGGAAAGGGAAGAAUCCCCAAAAGGAAAAUAGGAGUUCUGCUGCUAGAAGAAGGGAAGUUUGGCAUGACAAAAAUAACAGGUCUUCAUUGUGCAGUUAUGUCCAUCUUACAGAUUUUAUAGAUGCGGAGGUUCUAAAACUUAGCCCCAUUGACAGCUGGUAUUUCUGUCCUCUCCCCUUUAUCUGGACCCUAAUCAGUAGGAUACAGUGAUGGUGAUGCUAGGCCAGUCUCACAGUUGUGUUAAGAACUAGUAGUUUCUACUUCUGUGUCUUGAGACCCGGCCACCAUGCUGUGAAGCCCAGGCCACAUGGAGAAGCCUGACAUGACAGCCCUAAGUUCCAGCUGAUAACCAGUAUCAGCUGUCAGACAUGAAUGAGGAAGCCUUCAGGAUGACUCCAGCCCAGCCACUGACUGAGAACCAAGACAGAACUGCCUAGCUGAGGCCUGUCAAAGUCCAGCACCAUGAAGGAUAAUAAUCAGUGAUCAUCAUUUUAAGCUAAGUUUUAGAGUGAUUUGUUAUAUAUCAGUAGAUAAUCUGAACACAAACUGAGGCUCAAAAGGUUAAGUAGUUUGCUCUACUUUAGGGGGACUGGGCUAAGAGUAUAGACUUUGUGUAAUUGAGUUCCAGUGCAGGUUAUUUGCUGUAUACCUUAGAUAAGUCAGUGAACCUCUCUGAGCCUCAUCUUCCUCAUCUGAAAAGUGGAAAAGAGCACACUGUUAUUAUGACAAUACCUAAUGAGUUCACUUAUCACCUAAUCCAGAUUUAGGUGAUUUUUCUCUUAAAAAAAAUAACAGACCAUAAUUUUCUUUUCUCUUAUUUUUAUAUUCACCCUUUCCCAAAGUGUAUUUCAGUAUGUAUGUAAUAUUUAAUUUCUAAAUAUUAGAUAUAAAGUUAAACAUUAAAUAGAAUAUUAUAAAAAGGAGACAAAGGAAGAUAAUAACAAGAAGGCUUUUUCCCCCUACAUCUAAAGAGUUACUGCAGUCAAGAGCAGUGUGUCCAUCUGGUCACUAAGCCUGUGGGGCAAGCCCAGCUGGCCCUCCUGCAUGUAUGGAUGGAUGGACACGAUACCUGCUUCCUCUGACUGGAACACUCAAGACACACUUUGGAGAUGGUGGUCUGGUUCCCCUCUCACAACCAAAACGUGGAUCUUGAUCAAAAACCCUCAGUUGCCUUUUGCUUUGUCACCCUACAGAAGGUUCCUUGCUGCUGAGCUGGUUAGCGUGAGGUAAGAGAGAUGAAGUUGAUACUACUGUGAAUGGGUAACUUAGUUUUGAAUGGGUUAAUACAGAGUUAAUCCCAUUUCAAUUCAACAAUCUUAAAAGGUUAGUAUUAGUCCAGGGACUGUUUUGAGAAUGAAGUUAAAAUUGGGUUGAAACUGCAAAUAUAACUGCCCCACAGGUAAAACUGUAAAAUCUUAUCUUCUCUAAGGGGUCCCACUAAAGUAAAUAAAUGAAUUAAACACAUAUAUACACACACAAAAGCAAUGGAGCGCUAAUUACACAAGAGGCACUCAUCCUUGCUUUAUUCACGCAGUAACAUCCGACAUUGGGAACUAUGUGGGCAUAGAUACAAAAUAAGGAAGAUGGCAUCAUAAACAGUUGAGUUCAUCAGGGCAGUGGUGGCAGCUCAGCCAGUGUGUGGUUUCCCUGGGACCUAUUGAGUCGAGGAAAUACUCUCCUCCCUCCACCACUUCAUGGCCAAGAUGUUUUACAACACUUGGCCUGUACUUUAAAGGUCACAGUGAUUAAAAACAUGGGUAAGACAUUCAGGGCUGAGUGACUGCUCCUGGGGCCACUUAGGAGUCUGGCAACAAGAGCGUGAGGAACAGCGAUAUGCCCUUAUCCUCUGAAGUGUGUGCAAGACAGAUCACAGACACGUGAAGGGAUCUUUCUCCCUGUGCUGAAUGGAGAAAUAACCGUUCGGCCAAAUGCUUAGAAGGCGGAACUGGAGGCACCAAAAACACCACACAGGCAGCAUCACCUCUUGGUUUCUCAUGGUCACACCAAAAAGCUACUGUUAAUAUACAAAAUAGAAAAACAUUUGUAGUGGGCCUUUUUCAAACCCAGAACACAAGUUAGGGAGGAAAAAGAAAAGCUUUCCCUAGGGUCAUAGGUCAGACUCAAGUUCUCUGUACAGUACAUGCCACGCUGCUUCCUCACCAAUAGAUUCCCAACUAGGGUUUUUUCUCCAUGUGCCAGUUAUCAUACUUAAAGGCUAGGUUUCUAAGAUCUUCUUAGUGGUCAAUAAGAAAGGGAAUUCUGAGGGGGAGAGUACCUUGCACCUUGUAUUCCUUCAUAUGGUAACAGCAGGAGGAUUUGGCAGUCAGGCGGUAGCAAUAAUCCUCACAUGAGAAGAAUUCAAAUCUAUGAAAUCGUCCCCUGACACUGAAAACAGGCUGUCCUCCCAGAUCUCAUGCUCCAGCCACCCUCUCUCGUGUGAAGCUUUAUCUCCAGAGAAGUUGAGAAGAAAAAUGGCUGCCCAGCUGAAGCACCUACCAAUCUCCAGUUUCACAGGAUGAGACUAUAGAGCCCUCACUGGAGCCCAGGCAUAAACUGUUUUUGCUAAAUUCAUUUUAAGCACAGUUUUUAUAGAAAACUGAAGGACAAACCAAGUUGAAAGAAUCACUGUUAUAAUAACUUUAAUUUAUCUUGCAUUUUACAUAAGUCUAUGAACGAUUUUAAAAAAGCACCGCCUUACCCCAUCAUGUUUUUCUGACAGUUGUUAAAGUAGGCAAUGAGUAGGUCAACAGCUUGAGCAUCGGCAUCUUGCAAAGAUUUCAGACCAACCAGCCACAAGCCAAAAAACUUGGCAGCUUUUCUAUCUUGUAUUUAAUACAAUGAUAUAUCCACUUUGAUGGUAAACCUGUCCAGCCAAAUCUCCACAACACACUUGGAAAAUCAGUGGUGGUUAGCCAAUUAGUUAGCUUUGGCACGGAGCUGUGCUCGCUUGCCUGUGACAGCCUGGAAGCCGGUCUUGAUGCUGGCAACAGAGCAUCGAGAAUGACAAGUUUCGCACUGUAAGAAAUAGAGUCGGGUGUCCUUUUGCAGGAUUGUGUCCGGUGAUCGGCAUGUGUGACAGGUAACGUAUUCCUCUGCAGAAAAAGCAACAGACAGAAUUACCUGUUGACUGCAGUGAGCCAGAAGUUUCUUCUCUCAAACAUAUUCUACACAGAACAACGUAAGCCCAAAUGGUACCCAGACCAAAGAAAACUUUAGCUAAACUUAGAUAUUCUAGGGGUAAAGACACAAGGUGUUUGCUGUGAUACUUCAGGUACUAAAUCAUGGGCUGAAAGACUCCAAAUGUCCAAGGAGGUAGGGGUGCUUGCCAGAUGCCACUCCUGGAUCUGUCUACAGGAGAGCCACUCAGAACUUACUGGGUUACCUAGGUGGGAACAGACCUGCCAACUUUAAGUCAUUAGGAAGAUGAUAAAGACAGGCCAGGCCUGAAUGCAAACAGAUUUCUCUGACUGGGCCUUCAGCCUACAACCAACCAGCAGCCUUGGUCUGCUGCGCCUUAAAUCCAAACCCUUCUCCCUGCUACACAGCUGCCAAGAAGUCACCUUGCUGUCCCACCUUCCCAUCAUUAUCAUUCUCCCUCAUCCACAAAAUACUGCAGCCUGAUGAGAACAUUUCAGAGCGAGAUGAUGGAAUUAUGCACUUACUGAUAUAUCUUCUCAAAACAUUUUCUAUCUGUUUCUGUUGGAAUCUUCCUUUGAUUACAAGUUGAUUAUUACCAUCUAUAGAACCACUAUGAGAGAAAGCAAAAAUAUUUCCAUUAUUGUUUCCUGUAAGGAACCAAAGGACCUUUAUACACUUGAUGAAUUUAAAAUAUAUUCAGUGGCAUAAGUUCUAGAGCAGUCCGAUACCACCUGGUUUCUCAAAAUUUAUUUUUAAGUAGUUGGUGCCUGAUGACCUACCCAUAUUUCCUAACAUUAAAUCCAAUUUCAACCAACCAAGUCUCUAGUAACCUUUAAGUCUAAAACAAAUUGAUUCUGUCUGUGAUGGCUUAUUCAUCCAACAAAAAAAAAACACUUUUACUGAAUGUAUACCAUGUACUAGACAGUGAGGACAGUGAGGGGGUCUAUAAAUAUAAAAAUAGGGAGUUGUAUCUCUAAAAAUUUUAAGCACUAAAUGUUUUGAUUCAGUCACAUAGUUGAUAAAAUAUUCUAAGAUGGGUGGCGGUAAAGGUUGUUCAACUAUGUCAACAUAUUAAAAACCAUUUGUACAUUGAAUGUGUGAACUGUAUAAAGUUACCAAUAAAGAAGUACAGUUGAACUCACA
This is an RNA transcript of Prionailurus viverrinus (fishing cat), 9606 nucleotides long. It is a transcript of the gene named RALY heterogeneous nuclear ribonucleoprotein, with no coding region annotated. The record is from RefSeq and is a predicted model, not a curated record. Lineage: Eukaryota; Metazoa; Chordata; Mammalia; Carnivora; Felidae. The transcript is spliced from 10 exons.